GGAGCAGGCGGCACUAAGGGUCUGUGGUGAAAGAUCGAAGCUUAACUUCGGUAAGCCAUGGAAACCGUAGAGCUAGAGUGUGUGAGAGGAUCGUGGAAUUCCAUGUGUAGCGGUGAAAUGCGUAGAUAUAUGGAGGAACACCAGUGGCGGAGGCGACGAUCUGGCGCAUAACUGACGCUCAGUCCCGAAAGCGUGGGGAGCAAAUA
RNAcentral lists this ribosomal RNA (206 nucleotides) under uncultured bacterium. Its description in RNAcentral is "partial 16S ribosomal RNA". It matches the Rfam family "Bacterial small subunit ribosomal RNA", at positions 568 to 774 of the family's 1533-position model. The record is from RNAcentral.